GAAACACCGUGUAAGAAGUCUGAUUACUCUAAGACCACCAUGAUGGAGAGAAGGGUCACUUGCAGCUGCUUCAGUUGCUGGUCACAUUGAACCCAUACCUCGAGCCACCCCUGCCAAGAUGCCAAACAUAGCAAAAUUUGGGAACAAAUGGAAACGUCUGUGGAUCCAUAGUUUCUGAUAUAACAAACAAGGCUUUAUGUUUAUAUCGCACUUCCACAUCAGAAGAACCUAUGGAAGAAUCUAGGAAAAUGCCUAGUGUCAACAUGAGGAAAGUACGUGGAUGGCAGCAGACUACCAGGACAUGAAAAUAGCAGCUCCUUCCUGACUUACUCUCUCUUGGAUCAAUUAC
RNAcentral lists this long non-coding RNA (349 nucleotides) under Papio anubis (olive baboon). RNAcentral's name for it is "lncRNA (ENSPANG00000037692.1)". Lineage: Eukaryota; Metazoa; Chordata; Mammalia; Primates; Cercopithecidae. The record is from RNAcentral.